UCGUAGCUCAGUUGGAUAGAGCGCCGGCCUUCUAAGCCGGAUGCCGCAGGUUCGAAUCCUGCCGG
This 65-nucleotide transfer RNA is filed under the name marine eukaryotic metagenome. It matches the Rfam family "tRNA", at positions 6 to 65 of the family's 71-position model. From Rfam's summary of the family: Transfer RNA (tRNA) molecules are approximately 80 nucleotides in length. Their secondary structure includes four short double-helical elements and three loops (D, anti-codon, and T loops). The record is from RNAcentral.